AUUGAGGAAGCUUGCUUCUGAUUGAUAACAUUUGAGUGAGUGGCGGACGGGUGAGUAACACGUGGGUAACCUGCCCUAAAGUGGGGGAUAACAUUUGGAAACAGAUGCUAAUACCGCAUAAAACCUAGCACCGCAUGGUGCAAGGUUGAAAGAUGGUUUCGGCUAUCACUUUAGGAUGGACCCGCGGUGCAUUAGUUAGUUGGUGAGGUAAAGGCUCACCAAGACCGUGAUGCAUAGCCGACCUGAGAGGGUAAUCGGCCACACUGGGACUGAGACACGGCCCAGACUCCUACGGGAGGCAGCAGUAGGGAAUCUUCCACAAUGGACGAAAGUCUGAUGGAGCAACGCCGCGUGAGUGAAGAAGGUUUUCGGAUCGUAAAACUCUGUUGUUGGAGAAGAACGUAUUUGAUAGUAACUGAUCAGGUAGUGACGGUAUCCAACCAGAAAGCCACGGCUAACUACGUGCCAGCAGCCGCGGUAAUACGUAGGUGGCAAGCGUUGUCCGGAUUUAUUGGGCGUAAAGCGAGCGCAGGCGGUUUCUUAAGUCUGAUGUGAAAGCCUUCGGCUCAACCGAAGAAGUGCAUCGGAAACUGGGAAACUUGAGUGCAGAAGAGGACAGUGGA
Molecule: ribosomal RNA, 623 nt
Filed under: Latilactobacillus curvatus
Lineage: Bacteria; Bacillati; Bacillota; Bacilli; Lactobacillales; Lactobacillaceae
Description: bacterial SSU rRNA
Rfam family: Bacterial small subunit ribosomal RNA
Source: RNAcentral